Panthera uncia (snow leopard) is the source of this 2593-nucleotide long non-coding RNA. RefSeq lists it as uncharacterized. The transcript has 2 exons. The record is from RefSeq and is a predicted model, not a curated record. NCBI's taxonomy places the organism in Eukaryota, Metazoa, Chordata, Mammalia, Carnivora, Felidae.
AAACAGAACCAACUUGGGCAAUUUAUUGGUAAUGACAUUCACAAACUUCAAAUAUUAUCAGUUUUUGAGAUCUUUGUCAGUACGAUUGACCAAAAAUAUUUCUCGUUGCUAUUUUAUAUUGCCUUUCUUUGAUUACUAAUGAGGUUGAGCAUCUUUUCCUGUGUCAUUGAUGAUUUUUAUUUCUCGAAUUACCUGUUCAUAUCCGUUGCCCAUUUUUCUAUUGGGACAAUAGUCUUUUUUUUUUCAUUCAUUUAUAAGAACUCUCUACUAAGGAUAUUAAUUGUAACAUAUUUUUACCUGUAAACUUGUUGGAUGUCAGUCAGUUAACCUUACUUACACUUUUCCUUACCAAAGUUGGAAAUCUUUUUGUGGGCAGCUCUUUGGUUCUCUUACCCUUGGUCUAGAACCUGCUGUUCUUGCUCAGCCCUACCUAGCAGCGUCUUGGCAACCUCUCCUUCUGUCUGGCAAGAGUUUCACCAUAUUUCAUUUUUUUCUUUUCUUCUCUUGACACACAUUUGUCUUCUAAGUCUCACUGGAGUUCACAGUUUUUGCAGAUGGGACAAACGCCAAUGUGCCUUUUGUGCUAUUUCCUUCGGAGUCUUUGAACGUUUUUAGGGGUGAGUACACAGACGGUGAGUUUGCUCUCCUUGGACUUGGCUAGACAAGUUCUCCUCAGUAGAUUGGCAGUCAUCAGGGCAAGAUCAGUCACCAGGGCGAGGUCCCAGUAGCAAAGUUCCCAAGUACAAUUAAACCCCAACCUGUGCUCAAAAGCCCUGAGGAGCCCCUCCCCUGCCUUUUACCUUGCCUGGGGAAAAUAGCAUAAUGAACCCUCACUUAGGCGUGAUUGUUUUCAUUCUCCCAAGACUCAAAAGGUGAUGGGUGUUACCUGUCCUUCCUCCCUGUCCUGCUGUCCUUCCCUUUGCCCUUUCAUGACCCGCCCCCCCCCCCCCAGUGCUUAGAUUACAGACUGAGAUUAGAUGUUAUCAGAAAAUGUGGUCAAAUGUGUAGGAGGGGGGGAAAGGCGUCAGAGAUUAGUGUGUGGAAGAAGAGGAAAAGAAUAGUUCACCUUAUUGUUGAUGACAAAAAAUUUUAAGCCUAUACAAUAGUAGAGACAAUAAGAUAAUGAAUGAACCCUAGGGGACUUCUCCCCACCAUCAACAAUUUCACCCUACUGCCAGCUUUGUUUCAUCCUACAUAUUUCUCCACAGUAUUUUGAAACAAAUCCCAAACAUCAUGAAAUGUCAUCCAAUGUAAAUAUUUUGGUAUGUAUCUCUUACCGAUAAAAAAACCCAAGAUUGUUACUGCACACCUAAAUAAAUAUGAACAGUGAGAGGUGACAGUGUUUAAGUGGAUGGAACAUAUACUAAGGAGUAGGAUAAGGAGUAGGAAGAGCUGUAGUUGUUGUUUUUUUAAUUUUUUAAUUCUAAUUUGCCGUGCAAGACCUCAGGCAAGACGGUUAACUUUCCCAUCCCUCAGUAGCUACUUACAAGUAGAAAGAGGAAGUAUUUGCUUCAAAUUCAUAAUAUUGGUCGUAGUUACAGAAGGGUUUUCUUUGCUAACAUAUUUUUUUUAACUUUUGUGUUAAUGUUCAUUUAUUUUUUGAGAGAGAGAGACAGAGCAUGAGUGGGGGAGGAAGAGAGAGAGAGAGGGAGCCCAAGUAACUUUACCUGGCAUUUUCUUUAUCUGUAUAACUAAGGUAGGGACAAGAAGGGGUUAUUUUUCAGAGAAAACUGAGGGCUAAAAUGGUUGAGCCCCUCGGUCUAGGAAGUCAGGGGAAGGCCAGAGUUAGAAGGGGCUCUCGUGUGAGAGACAGCGUCAAGAGAGGACACCCCAGCCCUCUGCUCUGGGUGCACCUUCCUCCCCCGGGAGAACAGGAUGGGUAGGGGCAGCCCUCUGGGGCAUCACGAUGGGCAGCAUGAGUUCACAGUGUUCCUGAGGCAGAGACUCGGGCUGCCCACACCUCCCAUGGCUGGUAGGUUUGGCACAUGAUCAGUAACACUGAUGGGACAGAUAUUUCAACAACCACAACAAUAAAAGAGGGGAAAGAAAUCGAACAGGAGCAACCUUGACAGUUGGUGCCAACGUGAAGCUUGGAGGUCAGAAAAUCCAAACUCCUUUUGCAGUUAAGGAAAUGGAGUCCUAGAGGGAAGAAGGGACAUGGUGAGCCAGGCCUGACAAGGCCUCCUCACUGAGUCUCUUCCUUCCUCAGCUGAUUCUCUCUGGAUCGACAGAAGUGAUUUGAAGCCACAGAGAAGGAUGGGAGGGGAUCUUCCCGAAGUGGAAAUACCAUGUAAGACACAGCAAGAAGGCAGUCCCAUCUGCAAGCCAGGAAGAAAUCCCACCGUGGUGACACCCUGAUCUUAGACAUUCAGUCUCCGGAACUGCGAGAAAAAGCAUUUCUGCUUUUUAAGCCACUGGGCCUGUGGUGUUUUGAUAUGGUGGCCUGAGCUGAUAUAUUACGUAUCCUGAGAGAAAAAUCUCAGUCAGAAAAACAAACGAAAUGAUCAGCAACCAAGAACAUUCAACUGGAAUUACAGGCCAGGUGUUGUACAAAACAAGUUCCAAAGAGCAGGACGCGGGUAACCAGAGGGCC